This 21-nucleotide non-coding RNA is filed under the name Caenorhabditis elegans. Lineage: Eukaryota; Metazoa; Nematoda; Chromadorea; Rhabditida; Rhabditidae. The record is from RNAcentral.
UAGGCUCGUUCUUAAAUGUGG